This is a non-coding RNA of Meleagris gallopavo (turkey), 643 nucleotides long. Lineage: Eukaryota; Metazoa; Chordata; Aves; Galliformes; Phasianidae. The record is from RefSeq and is a predicted model, not a curated record.
AAUUCUGUGAUUCUGUGAGCAGGAAGUGCACUGUCUGUCUGUCUCUUUAUGAGUGGUAACUUUGUAACUUCUUUCUGUUUCUUCCUAUAGAGGACAAUGCAUAUCUGCUUUUCCUGCUUGAGAGUGAAUGGAAAAUCCGACUGAAUGUCAGUUCACAGAGGAAGUAUUUUUCCAGAUAAACUCUCUGGGCAUGCUGCUCCCUCCUGGUUCAACCCACAAGGUUCCACCCAUGCAGUGGUUGUUCCUGUGCCUGUCUUCCGAAGCCCAGGCUCCGUGAAGGCACGGAUGAAGACGCCACCAUCGACGUCUUGACCAAACUAAAUGUUUCCCAACGUCAACCAGUUCUGAUCACCUAUAAGAGCACUCCUGGCAGGGAUUUGAUUGAUGACUUGAAGUGACUUGAAGCUGAAUGGGAAUUUUGAGAGGGUGAUCGUUGGGAUGCUGACUCCCACCACCAUGUAUGACAUGCACGAACUAAGGAGGGCCGUGAAGGAUCACAGGAGCUAAAGUAGUCUGAAAAACAAGAGUCCAAAUGCUUGUCUUUGGAAGGCCCAGCUGGUUACCCAACCCCCGAGCAAAGAAAAAGAAGAAUCAAGUCUUCAGGCACCACACAUACUCAGGUCAGUCAGCUCUGAAAUAAAAG